Molecule: long non-coding RNA, 3608 nt
Organism: Heterocephalus glaber (naked mole-rat)
Lineage: Eukaryota; Metazoa; Chordata; Mammalia; Rodentia; Bathyergidae
Source: Ensembl
CCGUUGCAAGCCCGUGAUCCGCUGGGUCCGCACCCCCCAGGGCGGGGCCGCGGCUGUCACCUCCGGCACGGUGAGGUGAGGACACCGAGCUCAGGGCGCCUGUGAAAGGGUCCCCUCUUGACCUUGCCUCAGCCUUGCCCCGGGAGCGCGGCCACACGGACAGCAGGGGCUCCCUGGCAAAGGCCCUUGGGCCGGGUCACACCCACAGGCGCGCAGAGGGGAAGGACAUGCCCGCUUGAGGGGGGCAGAAACCGGGCCCCGAAGAAGGAGCCGCAGGCUCAGAGCUGGGAUCGUGCAGGUGCUGGGGCCAUGGCGGCCGGGCACACACAAGGACACCGCGGUAGAGACGCCGUGCACACAGGGCCGCGGGCCUGGCCGUCUGGAGCCCGAGGGGAGCCGGUCACCCCUCUGCUCAGAACCCUGACAGCUCCCUAUCUACUCAGCAUAAAGGCCAGAGGCUUCCAGGUAACUCAGAGGCUCAGGGUGAUGCGCCUUUGCUGCCUGCACAUCGCCCCUCUCAGCGGUCACUCACUCUCCUUGGACCACCCUGGCUCUUGGCUGUUCCUGGAAGGCACAGGCACCCCAGGGCCUUUGAACCUGCUGUUCCUUCUGCCCUGUAUGCUCUUCCUCCCACAUAUCGCCAGGGCUGCCUCCCUUACCUCUUUCAUGUCUUCCGCCGAAUGUCAGCUUCAUAUGAGAUCUCCCCUGGUCCUGCUCUAAAAUUUCAAAACUCCUCCCCGAAGGGUGCCUGUUCUCCUCUCCUAAUUAACCAUCUCCGUCUUCAUUGCCAUCUAACACCACACACAUUAUUAGUUUGCCCCAUCUCCUGUCUGUCUUCUCAACAAGAACCCAAGCUCCCGAAGGGUAACAACUUUAUCUUCUUCACUGCUGUCUUCGGGGCAGGAAGGGAGAAGGCUGUCAGUGACAUCUGUGGGCAGAGGGCACGGCCACUCGCCUGGGUGAGGCUGCCUCUGUGGCCUUGGCUCAGCCUCCAGGUGACCUUGAGCAAGUCACUGUCCCUGCUGAGGGCUUCCGGACAGGACCCAGGAGAUUCAGUCCAUGGUCAGGAAUCAUGAAGUCAUAAUGGAAGGGCAUGGUGGAACAAAACCUGUGCAGCUGGAUGUUUGAGACCUUGAUAUGGGCAUUUCUGGGCCACCUUAGACUCGCCUACUUUCUGCUGUGGUUUUCAAGUUUCCUAGAAGAUAUUUUCACUCACCCUGUGAGGGAGAUGCCGGCAAUAAUGCGCAAGACAUUGAACAACGAAAGGAGACGUUGUCCCACGGAGGGAGGUCUGGACUGGACUGUGGUGCCCACCGCACACCCUUGCCAGGCUCCCUCCACUAAACUGUCAUCCUGGCUGGUGUAGCCACGCACUCAGCAGGCAGGAGCAAGAGCCCAAGUGUCAAGCCUGUCUGUGUUUAUGGUUAUUUGUAAUCCCACCAGUGUUCUUAUCCUGCUCCGGAGGGCUGGAUUAAUCAGACUGGAAACGUGAUCGGUCAUGAGCUCAGCCCUGUCCCGUCCACCCUAUAACCUGACUCCAGGCACACUGGGCUUUUCUUCUCCCCUUAGCAGUCCUGACAUCCCCUCGGGGCUGUGAAAUUUCCAUCACUUUCAUACUCCUCUUUCACCUGAUGACCCACACACCCCCAGUAGCUUCUUUCUCUUUCUGUCAAGCAGAGAUCAUUACACCUGUGUAGUUCCCUGCCACUUUGCCCCUAAAAUAGUAAAGGGGUGGGGAGGGUACACGCAGCUUCCUUUUCUCCACUGCCUGCCAAGGAGGGCACUCCUUUCCUAGAAGAAAUAUACAGCCCACCCCCUUCCUCUACAAUGCCCUGGGGACGUCUCUGACUCCACCCCACUGCGAUCAGAUGUCCACUGUUUACGCUAGACUGGGCAGAACCUGCUUUGGCCCUUCCUACAAUGUCCUAGCUAAUCAGGCUCACUCCGUGACUUUAGUCAUUAUUGCUAAGGUGAUAAGGCCUCAUCUCCAGGCUAGAAUCUCUUCCCGAACCUCAAAUCCAUGCCCCAGGAUUCCCCACACUACACAGCCCCACCCUGAGCAUCCCCCUGAGGUGCUGGCCCCCAUCUUUCCCCUUUCCCUCCCCUAAUUAAUAGCCCUGAUGCAGCCUUGGAAGUCUGCUUCACAUCCAGCGUGUCUCUUCCACACCAAGGCUUCCAUUUCUGGUCCAGGCCUCCUCCUCUUUCCCCAGGCCACCCUGACAGCCCCUCACCCAGUUCCUGGUGCUAGAGCAUUCAAUCCCAUCACACCAUCUCCCUCUGCUUAAGAUCUCUUAAUUUGUCUGCAACUCAACUUGAUUAAAGUUAUGCAAGAAUAAAGUUAGUACAUUAGACUAUCAGAUAACCAUGAAAAGGGCAGGGAUGAAGGCCAGGGUACCUUUACUCAAAUAGCACCACAAUUCUCAUGUUUUGCUGUGUGUGUGUGUGUGUGUGUGUUUACGUUUUGCUUUGCUUUGUGCUAUUAGGGAUGGAACCCAGGGCCUUGUAUAUGCUAGGCAACCACCCUAUCACCAAGCCACACUCGCAGCCUGCACUGGAAAUUUUGUUUCUCCUUUUCCCCGAUGAAUCUUCUUCACUCUCUCCUAAUUCAUACCCAUUUCCUCCAGGGAACAGGCAACCUGUCUACUCACCACUCCCAAGCUUUAUAUUCAUUGUGUUUGUCUAGCUGUUAUCCUCCAUACCAGCUACCACCUUUGGCUCUAGGUUAGAAAAAAAAAAAUUCCAGUUACAUUUGCUUGCAUGAGGACUAAUCAGUUACACCAGGUAGUGGGGGAAGUCAGUGGAAAAAAGACAAAGAGCUGCUGCUUCCAGGCCUCUGAGAAGAGCUGCCACAGUCAGGCUGGGCAGACAGGGCAGAAAGGCCAGGGUUAGGGUUAGGGUCAGGAUUAGGGUUAGGAUCAGGAUUAGGCACCAGAUUCAACUUGGUGCCUUUUUCCUAAGAAGAGAAAACAGACCAAACUUGGUGCUCAAACGCAAACCUUUCCUGGGAGCUUCAUUCAAGGUGAAGCCAUCACACGGUCUUUGUCCUGGAGGCCCAGUCAUCAAGUAGACAGCGCUUGCUAUUAUGGCUUUGCAAAGCUGCCAAGUCCAGGAAGAUUGUGGAAGCUUUCUGACUCUGCUUCCCGUACAUUUCUAAGUUGGUUGCAGGCCAGGGCUUCCACUGCCCAGGUGCAGCCAGCCUAAUGCUAGGGUGUUGACAGGUGCCAGGCAGGUAUGAGAGAGAGCCUUGUUCUGCCACAGAGCACUGAAGUAUCUGUUCUGAACUCCUGUCACCUUGACUGAUGCUUAGAACACUUAGGACUCAGCUCCAGACUGGUCGCACCUUGGGACUUCACUCUCAUUCUCAAUGCCGGCUCCUCCAGGCUCUGUGCACCUGAGGACAGCUGUUGCCUAUGUAGCCUUUGCCUCUCAGCAGCCAGCCUGGGCCCAUGGGGACUGGGAGCUCUGUGACACCAACUUGAUGUGCUACAUAGCUUGGGCCCGGGGGCCUCUGAUUAAAAAAAAAAAAAAUACAGUGUUGCUUCCAUGUGCCCGUACUUGAUCAUCCCCAUUUCAAAUUGGAGUAAAACUGAGGUUCUAAGAGGUUAAGU